Molecule: ribosomal RNA, 1291 nt
Filed under: metagenome
Description: SSU rRNA
Rfam family: Eukaryotic small subunit ribosomal RNA
Source: RNAcentral
AAUGCGGAACUCAUCAGAGGCCUCGCAAUUGGAAUGAGCGCACUUUAAAUCGUUCGACGAGGAUCUAUUGGAGGGCAAGUCUGGUGCCAGCAGCCGCGGUAAUUCCAGCUCCAAUAGCGUAUAUUAAAGUUGUUGCAGUUAAAAAGCUCGUAGUUGGAUCUGGGGUUCGGGUCGGCGGUUUGCCGCUUCGGCGGCUACUGCCGUGCUCGACUCUUACUAGCCGGUGCGUCUUGCGGUGCUCUUCAUCGAGUGCCGUAGGAGCCUGGCAUGUUUACUUUGAAAAAAAUUAGAGUGCUCAAAGCAGGCGAUUCCGCCUGAAUAGUGUUGCAUGGAAUAAUGGAAUAGGACCUCGGUUCUAUUUUGUUGGUUUUCGGAACUUGAGGUAAUGAUUAAGAGGGACGGUCGGGGGCAUUCGUAUUUCGGUGUUAGAGGUGAAAUUCUUGGAUCGCUGAAAGACGGACAAAUGCGAAAGCAUCUGCCAAGAACGUCUCCAUUAAUCAAGAACGAAAGUCAGAGGUUCGAAGACGAUCAGACACCGUCCUAGUUCUGACCAUAAACGAUGCCAACUAGCGAUCCGCAGUGGUUGCUAUAAACGGACUCUGCGAGCAGCUUCCGGGAAACCAAAGUGUUUGGGUUCCGGGGGAAGUAUGGUUGCAAAGCUGAAACUUAAAGGAAUUGACGGAAGGGCACCACCAGGAGUGGAGCCUGCGGCUUAAUUUGACCCAACACGGGGAAACUCACCCGGUCCGGACACUGUAAGGAUUGACAGAUCGAGAGCUCUUUCUUGAUUCGGUGGAUGGUGGUGCAUGGCCGUUCUUAGUUGGUGGAGUGAUUUGUCUGGUUAAUUCCGAUAACGAACGAGACUCUAGCCUGCUAACUAGUUGCGCCGUGUUCAUACGCGGCUGUAGACUUCUUAGAGGGACAGGUGGCGUUUAGCCACACGAAAUUGAGCAAUAACAGGUCUGUGAUGCCCUUAGAUGUCCGGGGCCGCACGCGCGCUACACUGAAGGAGUCAGCGUGUGCUAUCCGGGCUCGGAAGAGUUCGGUAACCCGUUGAAACUCCUUCGUGCUUGUGAUUGUGGCUUGUAAUUAUCGCGCAUGAACGAGGAAUUCCCAGUAAGUGCAAGUCAUCAGCUUGCGCUGACUACGUCCCUGCCCUUUGUACACACCGCCCGUCGCUACUACCGAUUGAAUGGUUUAGCGAGGUACUCGGAUUGGUCUCGAUCUUGUACGAAAGUGCGGGAUCUGUGGCCGAGAAGAAGGCCAAACUUGAUCAUUUAGAGGAAGUAAA